UGCAGGGACCUGUAGGUGGUAAUCGACGGUCUUUUGUUGAUGAAGUGGUACUGUUUACAAGGAGAAAGGCUCCACUAAUUGGAGUGAGAUGGUGGAAAAACAUUGAUGAUGAAGUUAAGGAGGAUAUAGCAGAUGCAGUAAUGAAAAAGUGGGACCUUGCGAAUACUUUGGAGAACAAGAAAAAGAUAUGGGCCAUUGCAAAUGAGCGCUAUAGAGGAUGGCGAUCAACAUUUAGUUCAACAUGCAAGGCUUAUGACACUUAUGAUGAGAGAAUGAGACAUAAGCUUGAAGAACUAAACAUUGUUGAAUGACACUAUCUAGUGUUGUAUUUUACCAGCGUGGAAUUCCAGGAACGUAGCAACCAGAAUUCUCAAAACCGUUCGUGUGUCCAAGCAGUGCAUAGUGUGGGAUCAAAGUCGUUUGGUCAGUGCAGCUAUGAACUGAGAGACCCAGAAACCGGUGAAGAGCCAGAUGAUUGUGAGCUUUGGGCGAUUACACACAGUAAGAAAGGGAAAUGGACAAACACUGUAUCUGAGGCUAUCUAUGAAACUGCUCGCCGCAAAAUUGCGGAGAAGGAAACCGAGUCACCAGAUAGCUUCAUUCCUUUAGUAGAGAGAAACCUUCUUUUCCAAGAAGCAUACAAGCAAACUACUCGAUCUAAAUCAUCCAAGCUUCAUGGUAAUGGAUAUAUGGCAAGGUAUCCAAGUAGAAGGCAGCUACUGACUGAACGUUUAGAGGACCAGGCCCGUUCUGAAAUGGCAUCCCAUAUGGAAACUGAAGAGCUGAAGGCUAUGCUCGAGAAGGUACAAGAACAACUAAAAAACCAAGUUGCUGAAAGGGAAGCCGAGAAGGAGGAACAUAGGCGUCAGAUGGAAGAAUUGCAGAAAGCAAGGCAGGCUGAUAAAGAAGAACUUAGGAAAGAGUUCAUGUCAAUGCUAGCA
This is a long non-coding RNA of Sorghum bicolor (sorghum), 941 nucleotides long. RefSeq lists it as uncharacterized. The record is from RefSeq and is a predicted model, not a curated record. NCBI's taxonomy places the organism in Eukaryota, Viridiplantae, Streptophyta, Magnoliopsida, Poales, Poaceae. The transcript has 5 exons.